GAUGAACGCUGGCGGCGUGCUUAACACAUGCAAGUCGAGCGAGAAGUUUUGAAAAGAUUCUUCGGAUGAAAUUUAAAAUGGAAAGCGGCGGACGGGUGAGUAACGCGUAGGCAACCUGCCCCAUACAAAGGGAUAGCAUUUGGAAACGAAUAUUAAUACCUUAUGAAACUUAACUAGUGCAUGCUAGGUAGGUCAAAGAUUUAUCGGUAUGGGAUGGGCCUGCGUCUGAUUAGCUAGUUGGUGAGGUAACGGCUCACCAAGGCGACGAUCAGUAGCCGACCUGAGAGGGUGAACGGACACAUUGGAACUGAGACACGGUCCAAACUCCUACGGGAGGCAGCAGUGGGGAAUAUUGCACAAUGGGGGAAACCCUGAUGCAGCAACGCCGCGUGAACGAUGAAGGCCUUUGGGUCGUAAAGUUCUGUUCUAGGUGAUGAAAACUGACAGUAACCUAGGAGAAAGCCCCGGCUAACUCCGUG
RNAcentral lists this ribosomal RNA (479 nucleotides) under uncultured bacterium. Its description in RNAcentral is "partial 16S ribosomal RNA". It matches the Rfam family "Bacterial small subunit ribosomal RNA", at positions 28 to 507 of the family's 1533-position model. The record is from RNAcentral.